RNAcentral lists this ribosomal RNA (449 nucleotides) under uncultured bacterium. RNAcentral describes it as "bacterial SSU rRNA". It matches the Rfam family "Bacterial small subunit ribosomal RNA", at positions 478 to 919 of the family's 1533-position model. The record is from RNAcentral.
CUGCCUUAGCAAGACAUACGGCUAACUCUAGUGCCAAGCAGCCGCGGUAAGACAGAGGAUGCGAACGUUGCUCGGAUUUACUGGGCGUAAAGCGCGUGUAGGCGGUCUCGUUAGUCGGGUGUGAAAGCCCCGGGCUCAACCCGGGGAAGUGCACCCGAUACUGACGAGACUGGGGUACUGAAGAGGAGAGCGGAAUUCCCGGUGUAGAGGUGAAAUUCGUAGAUAUCGGGAGGAACACCAGUGGCGAAGGCGGCUCUCUGGGCAGAUACCGACGCUGAGACGCGAAAGCGUGGGGAGCAAACAGGAUUAGAUACCCUGGUAGUCCACGCUGUAAACGAUGACGACUGGGUGUUGCAGGUAUUGACCCCUGCGGUGCCGAAGCCAACGCGUUAAGUCGUCCGCCUGGGAAGUACGGCCGCAAGGCUAAAACUCAAAGGAAUUGACGGGGG